RNAcentral lists this ribosomal RNA (119 nucleotides) under Hordeum vulgare subsp. vulgare (domesticated barley). Lineage: Eukaryota; Viridiplantae; Streptophyta; Magnoliopsida; Poales; Poaceae. The record is from RNAcentral.
GGAUGCGAUCAUACCAGCACUAAAGCACCGGAUCCUAUCAGAACUCCAAAGUUAAGCGUGCUUUGGCGAGAGUACUACUAGGAUGGGUGACCUCCUGGGAAGUCCUCGUGUUGCAUUCC